CCUACGGCGGGCAGCAGUGAGGAAUAUUGGUCAAUGGGCGCGAGCCUGAACCAGCCAAGUCGCGUGAGGGAAGACGGUCCUAUGGAUUGUAAACCUCUUUUGUCGGGGAGCAAAAGACGCCACGCGUGGCGUUCCGCGAGUACCCGAAGAAAAAGCAUCGGCUAACUCCGUGCCAGCCGCCGCGGUAAUACGGGGGAUGCGAGCGUUAUCCGGAUUUAUUGGGAUUAAAGGGUGCGCAGGAGGUAGAUCAAGUCAGCGGUAAAAUUGAGGGGCUCAACCUCUUCGAGUCGUUGAAACUGGUUUACUUGAGUGAGUGAGAGGUAUGCGGAAUGCGUGGUGUAGCGGUGAACUGCAU
RNAcentral lists this ribosomal RNA (355 nucleotides) under uncultured bacterium. RNAcentral describes it as "partial 16S ribosomal RNA". It matches the Rfam family "Bacterial small subunit ribosomal RNA", at positions 338 to 691 of the family's 1533-position model. The record is from RNAcentral.